This is an RNA transcript of Camelus dromedarius (Arabian camel), 2002 nucleotides long. It is a transcript of the gene named heterogeneous nuclear ribonucleoprotein A2/B1, with no coding region annotated. The record is from RefSeq and is a predicted model, not a curated record. NCBI's taxonomy places the organism in Eukaryota, Metazoa, Chordata, Mammalia, Artiodactyla, Camelidae. The transcript is spliced from 14 exons.
GGGGGGAAGGUUCUAGAAAAGCGGCGGCAGCGGCUCUAGCGGCAGUAGCAGCAGCGCGGGGUCCGGAGUGGAGGUGCUCCUAGCGGUGUUGUUUCUCGAGCAGCGGCAGUUCUCACUACAGCGCCAGGACGAGUCCGGUUCGUGUUCGUCCGCGGAGAUCUCUCUCAUCUCGCUCGGCUGCGGGAAAUCGGGCUGAAGCGACUGAGUCCGCGAUGGAGAAAACUUUAGAAACUGUUCCUUUGGAGAGGAAAAAGAGAGAAAAGGAACAAUUCCGUAAACUCUUUAUUGGUGGCUUGAGCUUUGAAACUACAGAAGAAAGUUUGAGGAACUACUACGAGCAAUGGGGAAAACUUACAGACUGUGUGGUAAUGAGGGAUCCUGCAAGCAAAAGAUCAAGAGGAUUUGGUUUUGUAACUUUUUCAUCCAUGGCUGAGGUUGAUGCUGCCAUGGCUGCAAGACCUCAUUCAAUUGAUGGGAGAGUGGUUGAGCCAAAACGUGCUGUUGCAAGAGAGGAAUCUGGAAAGCCUGGGGCUCAUGUAACUGUGAAGAAGCUGUUUGUUGGUGGAAUUAAAGAAGAUACUGAGGAACAUCAUCUUAGAGAUUACUUUGAAGAAUAUGGGAAAAUUGAUACCAUUGAGAUAAUUACUGACAGGCAGUCUGGGAAGAAAAGAGGCUUUGGAUUUGUUACUUUUGAUGACCAUGAUCCUGUGGAUAAGAUUGUGUUGCAGAAAUACCAUACCAUCAAUGGUCAUAAUGCAGAAGUGCGAAAGGCUUUGUCUAGACAAGAAAUGCAGGAAGUCCAAAGUUCUAGAAGUGGAAGAGGAGGCAACUUUGGUUUUGGAGAUUCUCGUGGUGGUGGUGGAAAUUUUGGACCAGGACCAGGAAGUAACUUUAGAGGAGGAUCUGAUGGAUAUGGAAGUGGUCGUGGAUUUGGGGAUGGCUAUAAUGGGUAUGGAGGAGGACCUGGAGGUGGCAAUUUUGGAGGUAGCCCUGGUUAUGGAGGAGGAAGAGGAGGAUAUGGUGGUGGAGGACCUGGAUAUGGCAACCAGGGUGGGGGCUACGGAGGUGGUUAUGACAACUAUGGAGGAGGAAAUUAUGGAAGUGGAAAUUAUAAUGAUUUUGGAAAUUAUAACCAGCAACCUUCUAACUACGGUCCAAUGAAGAGUGGAAACUUUGGUGGUAGCAGAAACAUGGGGGGACCAUAUGGUGGAGGAAAUUAUGGUCCAGGAGGCAGUGGAGGAAGUGGGGGUUAUGGAGGGAGAAGCCGAUACUGAGCUUCUUCCUAUUUGCCAUGGAUCUUUUAGAUGCUGCUGCUUCAAUGCAAGGAAAGGAAAUAACCCCAGCGAGGUACUCUUCAGGGAUACAGGUCUAGUACAAGAGAACUCUUGGCGACUACUAAGUUCAGCCAGUCUUAAGAAACUGUGCUGUUUCUACAAAGCUUUAACUACAGUAGUUUAUAAGGAUGCCAACGAAAGCUGAGGGUGUAGAGCAAAAUAGUUCUAAGCUUCAGUUAAACUUCUUUAGCAUUGAUAUGAACCAUGGACAAGUAUAUUCUGCUGCCACAAAGACUGUAAAGUGCUUCAUUUCAACAGCUGAGGCAAGCCAAGUGAUCAUUAAUAAAGCUUUUCUUGGUUCCUUCAGUGGUGUUGGUAGUAAAAUGGAAGGUGUCUUGCUGCAGGUAACUAAUGAAGAAGUGGUCAACCACAGAGUCUUCAAGAAAUAAGAAAUUCUGUACCAUCUGAAAGUAGUUCUUGUUGGUGCCUUCAUUUAAAAAAGCACUCUUUUAAGAUUAAAGGGAAAUGUUUUCUGAUAAAAUAACAGACUUCAUUUAGUACAGGUUCUUAAUAUAAAACAAUUACAAAUUGAGCAUUGUUUGUAAAAGAGUAACAUCAAAUCAGCUAGAGAGAAAAUGUAUCAUGUUUUAAAUUAGGUUUUGUGAGUAGACAGAUUAAAAUUCUAUUUUAAAUAUAAAGUUUAUAAAAUAAAUACUUUUGUAUUCAAA